This 214-nucleotide long non-coding RNA is filed under the name Lathyrus oleraceus (garden pea). Its description in RNAcentral is "Pisum sativum (pea) long non-coding RNA (PSAT_LNC023184)". Lineage: Eukaryota; Viridiplantae; Streptophyta; Magnoliopsida; Fabales; Fabaceae. The record is from RNAcentral.
GAUAUUUAUGGUGAGAAAAUUAACGAGAAUGUUGAAUCGAGUGGAAAAAGUAAUACGACCUAUGCUUCAUACGACAAAGACACGGAAACAUACGAUGUGAUCGAGUUGAAGAGAUUGUAGAAGCACUGGAAGAACCAGGGACAGCUUAUAGAACCUAAUGGGCAUACCUUAACUAGUUUUAUCGGUGCACUAGAUGUCUAUUGGAACAACCAGG